Molecule: long non-coding RNA, 135 nt
Organism: Fundulus heteroclitus (mummichog)
Lineage: Eukaryota; Metazoa; Chordata; Actinopteri; Cyprinodontiformes; Fundulidae
Exons: 3
Source: RefSeq, a predicted model, not a curated record
AAGGACCCUAGAGAUGGAUACACAUGAACAAAAGGAACAUGACUUAAGAUCUGCUUUAAAAGAGAAGGAAACUGAAGCCUUGCAGCAAAGGACCCAAGAGAUGGACACAGAUGAACAAAAGCAACAUGAUUUAAG